CAACAACAGGACAGCUUCCUCACUUUCUUUCAUUGGACAGCUAAUGUGAGAGCUAAUCCAGUAUGUGGAGAGACACGUUCAACAUUUUCCUCUGUCAAGGGAACAUCUUCACAGGAUAGGUGACCGAAGGAUUCCUUUGAAAACAUUUCAGAGGGGAAAUGACUUUGACAGGAUGGUCCUAGUGUUACCUUCAAAUUGGAAGCAAUGGGGUGCUAUGCCCAAGUGGUUGGUUUGUCAAAGAGCAGGAUUUACCACAUGAGCAUACAGCUAUACAGAAACAGAAAGUAAAAGUAAUAGAAUCAAAGGAAGGAGGAAAGAAAAAAGAAAAAGGAGAAAGCAAAGCUCCUGAACAAUGCCUCUUUCCGUGACAGCAAUUCUCUCUUACCA
This 387-nucleotide long non-coding RNA is filed under the name Phasianus colchicus (ring-necked pheasant). RNAcentral's name for it is "lncRNA (ENSPCLG00000002018.1)". Lineage: Eukaryota; Metazoa; Chordata; Aves; Galliformes; Phasianidae. The record is from RNAcentral.